RNAcentral lists this ribosomal RNA (38 nucleotides) under Miltoniopsis phalaenopsis. Its description in RNAcentral is "partial 26S ribosomal RNA". Lineage: Eukaryota; Viridiplantae; Streptophyta; Magnoliopsida; Asparagales; Orchidaceae. The record is from RNAcentral.
GCGACCCCAGGAUGGGCGAGACCACCCGCCAGUUUAAG